GACGAACGCUGGCGGCGUGCUUAACACAUGCAAGUCGAACGGACAGGCCCUGCUUUUGUGGGGUGCUCGAGUGGCGAACGGGUGAGUAACACGUGAGUAACCUGCCCUUGACUUUGGGAUAACUUCAGGAAACUGGGGCUCAUACCGGAUAGGAGCUCCUGCUGCAUGGUGGGGGUUGGAAAGUUUCGGCGGUUGGGGAUGGACUCGCGGCUUAUCAGCUUGUUGGUGGGGUAGUGGCUUACCAAGGCUUUGACGGGUAGCCGGCCUGAGAGGGUGACCGGCCACAUUGGGACUGAGAGAGGGACCAGACGCCGACGGGACGCAGUAGUGGGGAAUAUUGCACAACGGGCGGAAGCCGGAUGCAGCAACGCCGCGUGCGGGAUGACGGCCUUCGGGUGGUAAACCGCUGUGGCCGGUGACGAAGAGUGAGUGACGGUAAUGGGUAAAGAAGCACCGGCUAACUACGUG
Molecule: ribosomal RNA, 468 nt
Filed under: uncultured bacterium
Lineage: Bacteria
Description: partial 16S ribosomal RNA
Rfam family: Bacterial small subunit ribosomal RNA
Source: RNAcentral